UACGGAGGGUGCAAGCGUUAUCCGGAUUCACUGGGUUUAAAGGGUGCGUAGGUGGGUUGGUAAGUCAGUGGUGAAAUCUCCGAGCUUAACUUGGAAACUGCCAUUGAUACUAUUAGUCUUGAAUAUUGUGGAGGUCAGCGGAAUAUGUCAUGUAGCGGUGAAAUGCUUAGAGAUGACAUAGAACACCAAUUGCGAAGGCAGCUGGCUACACAUAUAUUGACACUGAGGCACGAAAGCGUGGGGAUCAAGCAGG
Molecule: ribosomal RNA, 253 nt
Filed under: uncultured bacterium
Lineage: Bacteria
Description: partial 16S ribosomal RNA
Rfam family: Bacterial small subunit ribosomal RNA
Source: RNAcentral